This 207-nucleotide ribosomal RNA is filed under the name uncultured bacterium. RNAcentral's name for it is "partial 16S ribosomal RNA". It matches the Rfam family "Bacterial small subunit ribosomal RNA", at positions 568 to 774 of the family's 1533-position model. The record is from RNAcentral.
CGCGUAGGCGGUUUUGUUAGUCGGAUGUGAAAUCCCCGGGCUUAACCUGGGAACUGCAUUCGAUACUGCAUAACUAGAGUAUGGUAGAGGGAAGUGGAAUUCCGGGUGUAGCGGUGAAAUGCGUAGAUAUCCGGAGGAACACCAGUGGCGAAGGCGACUUCCUGGGCCAAUACUGACGCUGAGGUGCGAAAGCGUGGGGAGCAAACA